GUGCAGUAGUUCCUUUUUAUAUGUGCUAUUUUCCCCCUUCUAUCGUCUCCCCAGAAUUUGCACUUACCAAUCUAUCAAAUUAGCUAAUGUGAGCUGCUUCAACCUUAAUGUUGUUGCACAUGGCUGUUGACAUUUGGAGGUGUUGGAUUAUUGCUUUGUUUUUUAGUGAGGCAACAAAUGGAAUUUAAGUGACCCAGGAAUCCACAUUGGUAACCUACAAGUACCUAUCAUUUGCAGGAAAUUAGAGGGAAUGACUAUAACAAAGUCUGAUUGAUGCUCCAAGACAGGAGACAAGUUGCCGUGCCCAAGUAGGAAUGGCUAGCUGCUGCACACUGAGUGCCACGCAUGGCCAUACAUGGAUGCAAGAUCAUUUUCACACCAAGAAAAUCAAUGUGCUCAUGGAUGGUAUUGACUAUUCCUAGCAUAGACAAAUCGUUUUGCAAGCCAAACAUGUGAUCUGUGCACUGAUGUUUUGUACAUAGUAGUUGUGCAAGCUAAACUUGUGAUAUCUGCAAGCCAAAGCAUGUGGCCUGUGGAAACUAAAUGGCAUGUCUAGAUACUUGUCUGAUCUAGCUUGCUGCUUUUGAAUUUUGUCAAAAGUUGUACUAGUCCCCCCUUAAAAUCAAGCUUGAAAUCCAUUCCCU
Panicum virgatum (switchgrass) is the source of this 644-nucleotide long non-coding RNA. RefSeq lists it as uncharacterized. NCBI's taxonomy places the organism in Eukaryota, Viridiplantae, Streptophyta, Magnoliopsida, Poales, Poaceae. The transcript has 2 exons. The record is from RefSeq and is a predicted model, not a curated record.